UACGGAGGGGACUAGCGUUGUUCGGAAUUACUGGGCGUAAAGCGCACGUAGGCGGAUUUGUAAGUCAGGGGUGAAAUCCCGGGGCUCAACCCCGGAACUGCCUUUGAUACUGCGAAUCUCGAGUCCGGAAGAGGUGAGUGGAAUUCCUAGUGUAGAGGUGAAAUUCGUAGAUAUUCGGAGGAACACCAGUGGCGAAGGCGGCUUACUGGCUCGAUACUGACGCUGAGGUGCGAAAGCGUGGGGAGCAAACAGG
This 253-nucleotide ribosomal RNA is filed under the name uncultured bacterium. RNAcentral's name for it is "partial 16S ribosomal RNA". It matches the Rfam family "Bacterial small subunit ribosomal RNA", at positions 524 to 776 of the family's 1533-position model. The record is from RNAcentral.